This 803-nucleotide ribosomal RNA is filed under the name uncultured Pelagibacteraceae bacterium. Its description in RNAcentral is "bacterial SSU rRNA". It matches the Rfam family "Bacterial small subunit ribosomal RNA", at positions 34 to 885 of the family's 1533-position model. The record is from RNAcentral. Lineage: Bacteria; Pseudomonadati; Pseudomonadota; Alphaproteobacteria; Candidatus Pelagibacterales; Candidatus Pelagibacteraceae.
CGCUGGCGGCACGCCUAACACAUGCAAGUCGAACGAAGUAGCAAUACUUAGUGGCAGACGGGUGAGUAACAUGUAGGUAUCUGCCCUUUGGCCUGGAAUAACACGAGGAAACUUGUGCUAAUACCGGAUAAGUCUUUACGGAGAAAGCUUUAUGCACCAUUGGAUGAGCCUGCACUUGAUUAGUUUGUUGGUGGGGUAAUGGCCUACCAAGACUGUGAUCAAUAGCUGAUUUGAGAGGAUGAUCAGCCACAUUGGGACUGAGACACGGCCCAAACUCCUACGGGAGGCAGCAGUGGGGAAUCUUGCACAAUGGAGGAAACUCUGAUGCAGCGAUGCCGCGUGAGUGAAGAAGGCCCUUGGGUUGUAAAGCUCUUUCGUCGGGGAAGAAAAUGACUGUACCCGAAUAAGAAGGUCCGGCUAACUUCGUGCCAGCAGCCGCGGUAAUACGAAGGGACCUAGCGUAGUUCGGAAUUACUGGGCUUAAAGAGUUCGUAGGUGGUUGAAAAAGUUGGUGGUGAAAUCCCAGAGCUUAACUCUGGAACUGCCAUCAAAACUUUUCAGCUAGAGUAUGAUAGAGGAAAGCAGAAUUUCUAGUGUAGAGGUGAAAUUCGUAGAUAUUAGAAAGAAUACCAAUUGCGAAGGCAGCUUUCUGGAUCAUUACUGACACUGAGGAACGAAAGCAUGGGUAGCGAAGAGGAUUAGAUACCCUCGUAGUCCAUGCCGUAAACGAUGUGUGUUAGACGUUGGAAAUUUAUUUUCGGUGUCGCAGCGAAAGCGAUAAACACACCGCCUGGGGAGUACGA